RNAcentral lists this ribosomal RNA (454 nucleotides) under uncultured bacterium. RNAcentral's name for it is "partial 16S ribosomal RNA". It matches the Rfam family "Bacterial small subunit ribosomal RNA", at positions 28 to 507 of the family's 1533-position model. The record is from RNAcentral.
GAUGAACGCUGACAGAAUGCUUAACACAUGCAAGUCAACUUGAACUUCGGUUUGGGUGGCGGACGGGUGAGUAACGCGUAAAGAACUUGCCUCACAGAUAGGGACAACAUUUGGAAACGAAUGCUAAUACCUGAUAUUAUGAUUAUAUGGCAUCGUAUAAUUAUGAAGGCUAUAUGCGCUGUGAGAGAGCUUUGCGUCCCAUUAGCUAGUUGGAGAGGUAACGGCUCACCAAGGCGAUGAUGGGUAGCCGGCCUGAGAGGGUGAUCGGCCACAAGGGGACUGAGACACGGCCCUUACUCCUACGGGAGGCAGCAGUGGGGAAUAUUGGACAAUGGACCAAGAGUCUGAUCCAGCAAUUCUGUGUGCACGAUGAAGUUUUUCGGAAUGUAAAGUGCUUUCAGUUGGGAAGAAAAAAAUGACGGUACCAACAGAAGAAGAGACGGCUAAAUACGUG